RNAcentral lists this ribosomal RNA (253 nucleotides) under uncultured bacterium. RNAcentral's name for it is "partial 16S ribosomal RNA". It matches the Rfam family "Bacterial small subunit ribosomal RNA", at positions 524 to 776 of the family's 1533-position model. The record is from RNAcentral.
UACGUAGGGGGCAAGCGUUGUCCGGAUUUACUGGGCGUAAAGGGCGUGCAGGCGGUCUGUUAAGUGCAGGGUGAAAGCUCCCGGCUCAACUGGGAGAGGUCCUUGCAUACUGGCGGACUUGAGGGGGGUAGAGGAAAGUGGAAUUCCCGGUGUAGUGGUGAUAUGCGUAGAUAUCGGGAGGAACACCUGUGGCGAAGGCGGCUUUCUGGGCCCUACCUGACGCUGAGACGCGAAAGCGUGGGGAGCGAACCGG